RNAcentral lists this ribosomal RNA (783 nucleotides) under Stenotrophomonas rhizophila. RNAcentral's name for it is "bacterial SSU rRNA". It matches the Rfam family "Bacterial small subunit ribosomal RNA", at positions 8 to 778 of the family's 1533-position model. The record is from RNAcentral. Lineage: Bacteria; Pseudomonadati; Pseudomonadota; Gammaproteobacteria; Lysobacterales; Lysobacteraceae.
AGAGUUUGAUCCUGGCUCAGAGUGAACGCUGGCGGUAGGCCUAACACAUGCAAGUCGAACGGCAGCACAGUAAGAGCUUGCUCUUAUGGGUGGCGAGUGGCGGACGGGUGAGGAAUACAUCGGAAUCUACCUUUUCGUGGGGGAUAACGUAGGGAAACUUACGCUAAUACCGCAUACGACCUUCGGGUGAAAGCAGGGGACCUUCGGGCCUUGCGCGGAUAGAUGAGCCGAUGUCGGAUUAGCUAGUUGGCGGGGUAAAGGCCCACCAAGGCGACGAUCCGUAGCUGGUCUGAGAGGAUGAUCAGCCACACUGGAACUGAGACACGGUCCAGACUCCUACGGGAGGCAGCAGUGGGGAAUAUUGGACAAUGGGCGCAAGCCUGAUCCAGCCAUACCGCGUGGGUGAAGAAGGCCUUCGGGUUGUAAAGCCCUUUUGUUGGGAAAGAAAAGCAGUCGAUUAAUACUCGGUUGUUCUGACGGUACCCAAAGAAUAAGCACCGGCUAACUUCGUGCCAGCAGCCGCGGUAAUACGAAGGGUGCAAGCGUUACUCGGAAUUACUGGGCGUAAAGCGUGCGUAGGUGGUUGUUUAAGUCUGUUGUGAAAGCCCUGGGCUCAACCUGGGAAUUGCAGUGGAUACUGGGCGACUAGAGUGGGGUAGAGGGUAGUGGAAUUCCCGGUGUAGCAGUGAAAUGCGUAGAGAUCGGGAGGAACAUCCAUGGCGAAGGCAGCUACCUGGACCAACACUGACACUGAGGCACGAAAGCGUGGGGAGCAAACAGAAU